RNAcentral lists this unclassified non-coding RNA (293 nucleotides) under Hevea brasiliensis (rubber tree). The record is from RNAcentral. Lineage: Eukaryota; Viridiplantae; Streptophyta; Magnoliopsida; Malpighiales; Euphorbiaceae.
GUUGCUCAAAAACCAUAUAUGAUUCUUGAUGCUGCUGCAAUGGAGAAUCUUGAGAUCUUUGAGAAUAACAGAAAUGGAGGCUCUUCAGGGACACUUUAUGCACAAAUGAAUCAUUGUGUGACAGCAUUUGGGAAGAGGUUGCUGAAAACAUGGCUAGCAAGACCUCUAUAUCAUUUGAAAUCUAUUAAGGAUCGCCAGGAUGCUGUAGCAGGUCUACGGGGGGCAAAUCAACCUAUGGCACUGGAAUUUCGAAAAGCAUUGUCCAGGCUUCCUGACAUGGAGCGAUUACUUGC